This 1164-nucleotide ribosomal RNA is filed under the name bacterium. RNAcentral's name for it is "bacterial SSU rRNA". It matches the Rfam family "Bacterial small subunit ribosomal RNA", at positions 75 to 1232 of the family's 1533-position model. The record is from RNAcentral.
AACAAGCUUGCUACUCGGGUGACGAGCGGCGGACGGGUGAGUAAUGUCUGGGAAACUGCCUGAUGGAGGGGGAUAACUACUGGAAACGGUAGCUAAUACCGCAUAAUGUCGCAAGACCAAAGUGGGGGACCUUCGGGCCUCAUGCCAUCAGAUGUGCCCAGAUGGGAUUAGCUAGUAGGUGGGGUAACGGCUCACCUAGGCGACGAUCCCUAGCUGGUCUGAGAGGAUGACCAGCCACACUGGAACUGAGACACGGUCCAGACUCCUACGGGAGGCAGCAGUGGGGAAUAUUGCACAAUGGGCGCAAGCCUGAUGCAGCCAUGCCGCGUGUGUGAAGAAGGCCUUCGGGUUGUAAAGCACUUUCAGCGGGGAGGAAGGCGGUGAGGUUAAUAACCUCAUCGAUUGACGUUACCCGCAGAAGAAGCACCGGCUAACUCCGUGCCAGCAGCCGCGGUAAUACGGAGGGUGCAAGCGUUAAUCGGAAUUACUGGGCGUAAAGCGCACGCAGGCGGUCUGUCAAGUCGGAUGUGAAAUCCCCGGGCUCAACCUGGGAACUGCAUUCGAAACUGGCAGGCUAGAGUCUUGUAGAGGGGGGUAGAAUUCCAGGUGUAGCGGUGAAAUGCGUAGAGAUCUGGAGGAAUACCGGUGGCGAAGGCGGCCCCCUGGACAAAGACUGACGCUCAGGUGCGAAAGCGUGGGGAGCAAACAGGAUUAGAUACCCUGGUAGUCCACGCCGUAAACGAUGUCGAUUUGGAGGUUGUGCCCUUGAGGCGUGGCUUCCGGAGCUAACGCGUUAAAUCGACCGCCUGGGGAGUACGGCCGCAAGGUUAAAACUCAAAUGAAUUGACGGGGGCCCGCACAAGCGGUGGAGCAUGUGGUUUAAUUCGAUGCAACGCGAAGAACCUUACCUGGUCUUGACAUCCACAGAACUUUCCAGAGAUGGAUUGGUGCCUUCGGGAACUGUGAGACAGGUGCUGCAUGGCUGUCGUCAGCUCGUGUUGGGAAAUGUUGGGUUAAGUCCCGGAACGAGCGGAACCCUUAUCCUUUGUUGCCAGCGGUUCGGCCGGGAACUCAAAGGAGAUUGCAGUGUAAACUGGAGGAAAGGUGGGGAUGACGUCAAGGCAUCAUGGCCCUUACGACCAGGGUUACACACGGGCUACAAUG